GAUGCUUGGCCUAAAUCUCUUCUGACAAGUUCAUCAGGCCCCGUGCCCGCGGCAGACACAAGUCGAACCAGGCCCCGUCCCAGGAGCCCUCACUCGGCCCCAGAGCCCUCUGUAGGUACUACCACCAAUCAGCAGAGAGGGGCUCGGGGAAACGCAGCAGACACGCUGACCAUGGCCAGCAGCAGGUAGCCAGAGCCACCGAGGCUCUGCUUCCACAUGUAGCUCCUGAUCGUGCCCCAGAAAUGCCUCCUCUCAUCCCCUAGAUCCUGGGCCCCUUUUCCUGGUCCCCACACAAGGGCAGCCUCUUCCUGGGCUCUGCGCCAGCACCCCCACCCUCCCAUGCAGCAAAUGCCACUUGCCAGUAAAUGAAUUCCAGGGUGGGUGCACACGGUCCCAGGUCACACGGGUGUCUGGAGGAGCUCAGGCCCUUGUUCCCAGAGCCCCCUCCUGACCCUCAGGAGCAAGAGCACCCCCUCCGAUCUCGAGGUGAAAACUGUAGGAGAAGACAAGCAGAUCGUUGUUAAGGACAAGAUACUGGCGGAGCUGGAAGAGAAACCUAAACGUUCCUUAAACAAGGGCCGAAGAAUUACAUGAACUUACCCUGUGCUGUUUGAACUUAGGGUGAAAGUUCUAUUGUUUACCUUGCUCCUGAUUAAAUGCCCGCGGAUGAUGACGCUGGUGUCAGGGGGCCACAGGCGUAUCACCCUGUGAGUUGGGAGUGACUACCCCCUUUCCAGCCCCACCUAACCAUUCGGUUUCUACCUGCUUCUCUUACGAGAUACAGAAAGUCAAGUCCCAAGCUUGUCUUACUAGCUUCUGCUUCUGCUUCUAAAAUGUUUACACCCAAUUCUGAUUUCGUUCAUGCUGGGCCUGCAACUCAAAAUAUCAGUCUAAUUUAUAGAUGAGGUCCAACGAAUGGUCCAAGUUGGUCUACUUAAAAACACAGGUCAGACUUGAAAAGGCAGGAAAUAGGAAUGUGGACAGAGAUGAGCUUGUCAAGUCGUAGUGGUGUUUACAGGAGGAGUAGGGAAUCAUCAUUACUUGCGAUGAGAGUGCCGGGGAAGAGGAAAGUCACAUCCCGAUUACCCCCAGGGUUCAGAGGGCACUACUGAAAGGUGUGAGCAGUGGAGGAACACGCGUUGCGUAUUAACAGAACUGGAAGAUUUGACCAAUGAUUUCGUUUUAGUUGGCAAAAAUACUCCAAGACGUGUAUACCCGAUGCACAAGGAAAACCACAGAAAGCCAACGUAACUGACGGAGUUCUCCAGUUACGAUUCUGAAACAUCUGUCCCCUGCAGGGUGCUGCCCAUUCUACAAGUCACUCUAGAGCAGCCAGCCAGCAACCCC
This 1347-nucleotide long non-coding RNA is filed under the name Canis lupus familiaris (dog). RNAcentral's name for it is "lncRNA (ENSCAFG00040016875.1)". Lineage: Eukaryota; Metazoa; Chordata; Mammalia; Carnivora; Canidae. The record is from RNAcentral.